GACUACCAGGGUAUCUAAGCCCAUUCGCUACCCACGCUUUCGUGCCUCAGCGUCAGAAUCGUUUUAGCAAGCUGUCUUCACAUUUGGUGUUCUUGCUGAUAUUAACGGAUUUAACCCCUACACCAGCAAUUCCGCUUGCCUCCCCCGAUCUCUAGUCUAUCCAUCUCUUCCGCGGCCACAGAGUUGAGCUCCAUGAUUUAACAGAAGAUGUGAUAAACCGCCUACGCACCCUUUACGCCCAGUAAAUCCGGAUAACGCUAGGGGCCCUCGUAUUACCGCUGCUGCUGGCACGAGGUUAGCAGCCCCUUAUUCAUUAGGUACUGUCAUUGAUUCAUCCCUAAUAAAAGCACUUUACACCCCGAGGGGCGUCAUCAUGCACGCGGCGUCGCUCCUUCAGGCUUUCGCCCAUUGAGGAAGAUUCCUUACUGCAGCCCCCCGUAGG
This 442-nucleotide ribosomal RNA is filed under the name uncultured bacterium. Its description in RNAcentral is "partial 16S ribosomal RNA". The record is from RNAcentral.